Molecule: long non-coding RNA, 421 nt
Filed under: Glycine max (soybean)
Lineage: Eukaryota; Viridiplantae; Streptophyta; Magnoliopsida; Fabales; Fabaceae
Description: long non-coding RNA (GMAX_LNC001319)
Source: RNAcentral
AUUUAUUUAAUUAUAAAAAUCUCACUAUUUUCUAAAAUUCUAUUUAUUUAUUUUUUUACUAAUUUUUUUUAAUUUAUUUUAAAAAAAUGGGAUAUUACAACAAUAAUCCUUGUUUUUUCCAAUUCCCAUCCAUGAACUCCGUAUGAGCAUGGCCUGCUAUAUCGAAUUUUGUGGAGAAACUCAUCUUUGUAGUUCAAACUGCUUCAGUCUACUCUCUCCAUUCUCCUUACAAAAAUGCAAUAUAUAAUCAAACAAAUAGCAAAAAGGAAAGGGAUGUGAAGCAACCAAAAUAAUGAGUACCUAGCUCUGAUGCAGGGACUCUGAAAUAGAGGUCUUGUCCCCCUUUAGAGAAUUGUCUCAUCAAUCAGAUCGAUCAUCGAACCAAAGUAAACAGCCACUUCCUCCAUUACGAAUAUCCAAA